AGAGUUUGAUCAUGGCUCAGAUUGAACGCUGGCGGCAGGCUUCCACACAUGCAAGUCGAACGGUAACAGGAAGGAAGCUUGCUUUCUUUGCUGACGAGUGGCGGACGGGUGAGUAAUGCUUGGGAAUCUGGCUUAUGGAGGGGGAUAACUACGGGAAACUGUAGCUAAUACCGCGUAAUAUCUUCGGAUUAAAGGGUGGGACUUUCGGGCCACCUGCCAUAAGAUGAGCCCAAGUGGGAUUAGGUAGUUGGUGGGGUAAAGGCCUACCAAGCCGACGAUCUCUAGCUGGUCUGAGAGGAUGACCAGCCACACUGGAACUGAGACACGGUCCAGACUCCUACGGGAGGCAGCAGUGGGGAAUAUUGCACAAUGGGGGGAACCCUGAUGCAGCCAUGCCGCGUGAAUGAAGAAGGCCUUCGGGUUGUAAAGUUCUUUCGGUGAUGAGGAAGGUGUUUGUUUUAAUAGAACAAGCAAUUGACGUUAGUCACAGAAGAAGCACCGGCUAACUCCGUGCCAGCAGCCGCGGUAAUACGGAGGGUGCGAGCGUUAAUCGGAAUGACUGGGCGUAAAGGGCACGCAGGCGGUGACUUAAGUGAGAUGUGAAAGCCCCGAGCUUAACUUGGGAAUUGCAUUUCAUACUGGGUCGCUAGAGUAUUUUAGGGAGGGGUAGAAUUCCACGUGUAGCGGUGAAAUGCGUAGAGAUGUGGAGGAAUACCGAAGGCGAAGGCAGCCCCUUGGGAAUAUACUGACGCUCAUGUGCGAAAGCGUGGGGAGCAAACAGGAUUAGAUACCCUGGUAGUCCACGCUGUAAACGCUGUCGAUUUGGGGAUUGGGCUUAGAGCUUGGUGCCCGUAGCU
Molecule: ribosomal RNA, 857 nt
Filed under: uncultured bacterium
Lineage: Bacteria
Description: bacterial SSU rRNA
Rfam family: Bacterial small subunit ribosomal RNA
Source: RNAcentral